GACGAACGCUGGCGGCGUGCUUAACACAUGCAAGUCGAACGGAAAGGCCCUGCUUGCAGGGUACUCGAGUGGCGAACGGGCGAGUAACACGUGGGUGAUCUGCCCUGCACUUCGGGAUAAGCUUGGGAAACUGGGCCUAAUACCGGAUAGGACCGCACUUUAGUGUGUGUGGUGGAAAGUUUUUUCGGUGUAGGAUGUGCUCGCGGCCUAUCAGCUCGUUGGUGGGGUAAUGGCCUACCAUGGCGGCGACGGGUAGCCGGCCUGAGAGGGUGUACGGCCACAUUGGGACUGAGAGACAGGCCAGACUCCGACGGGAGGCAGAAGUGGGGAAUAUUGCACAAUGGGCGCAAGCCUGAGGCAGCGAGGCCGCGUGGGGGAUGAAGGCCUUCGGGUUGUAAACUCCUUUCGCUAGGGACGAAGCUUUGUUGUGACGGUACCUAGAUAAGAAGCACCGGCUAACUACGUG
Molecule: ribosomal RNA, 466 nt
Filed under: uncultured bacterium
Lineage: Bacteria
Description: partial 16S ribosomal RNA
Rfam family: Bacterial small subunit ribosomal RNA
Source: RNAcentral